RNAcentral lists this microRNA precursor (76 nucleotides) under Bos taurus (domestic cattle). Its description in RNAcentral is "microRNA bta-mir-1777a precursor". The record is from miRBase by way of RNAcentral. Lineage: Eukaryota; Metazoa; Chordata; Mammalia; Artiodactyla; Bovidae.
GCAUGGGGUUCCGAGUGGGGGCGGUGGGGGGCGGGUCUGAGCCGGCCUCUGGGCCCAGCCAGGGUCGCUCCGGGGU